Molecule: long non-coding RNA, 2858 nt
Organism: Stegastes partitus (bicolor damselfish)
Lineage: Eukaryota; Metazoa; Chordata; Actinopteri; Pomacentridae
Exons: 2
Source: RefSeq, a predicted model, not a curated record
UGAGCCUACCUGUUGCAGACAUCCUGGAGGUGAGGCAGAAGCCCAUCCUGAUGACAUAGCGGCCGUCGUCCCUCAGAGCAUCACUCCAAGUGCCUCCUCAUCAGGCCACUGAGGCAGCAGCGCCCCCCGGUGACCGCCGACCAAACACCUGCUGCACCUGGAGACGCUGGCGGGAGGCGACCGAGACGCAGAAACCAACCAGCCAUUCAGGAAGUGCCUCCUCUUCUUUCGGUUCCUGCCGUGUCCCGGGUCGUCUCCGUGGAAACGGGCCGGCGUCAGGAUCACAUGACCUCAGUGUGAACAGGCAUUGGCUGAACUCUGACCAGGAAGUAGAGGGAAGUGCAGAAUGUGUGUCUGUAAAUAUGUGCUGCUUUACUCACUGAGACGCCUUGACGGAAGGUUGUGCUUUAAAGACGGGACUUCAGAACCGCAGCGGUCGGAGGAGCUUCUGUUACGGCUUCGUUCUACAGACGGACCGGUUCUGUUACUCACAGCGAUCCACUAACCGGCACUCAGAGGGUAAACACUAGCGAUGCUUGUAAAUGCUGUUUUCUUCUCACUAGAUGGUGAAUUCGACUUUAAUCGUAGAACUUUACGUCUUGGCACAGAUUUUUACUUUCAAGAAAAGUUUGAAUUUUUUUGAGAACAAGGUCCAACAUUCGUAUUUAUAAAACUACAUUACGGUUUUCUUCAAAUUGCAUUUGAGAUUAAAGUUCUGUGAUGAGAUAAAGUCAUUCUGAGGAAGAAUUCAGAAUAUUAGGAGAAUAAAGUGUCAGAGUUCAUCCACCUGUUGAUGAACUCUGAACGUUCUGGCACAAAAGCAGGUUUAACAAAUGACAAAAGGAACAACUCACAAUUGUAAAAGUACAAUUAUUAUUCUUUUUUAAUUGCAUUUGAGAUGCUGUGGUGAGACUGAGGGAGGAAGAAUUUAGAAUGAACGUGUAGCUUCAUGAGAGCCUUCGCUCCGGUAACGUUCUCUGGACGUUACAAUAAAUUAUGUUUGUUACCAAAAAGCAGUGAAAAGAUGACAAACUUGUCAAAGUGCACGUUUAUUGUCUGAAUCUUCUAAAUUCUCCAUCAGAAUGACUUUUGCACAAAUGUUGGAUUAAAGAGAAGGAGGGCUGAGGUCGGACCUUGGUUCUGGUCAAACAGCAUCUGGACAUUAAUUACUGACGUUCUCCUGAUUAGUCUGAAGGCCGACGCAGCAGAACGGAGCACAAAGAAACCAACUGCCUGGACUCAAGCCGCCGGUCCGGUUCUGGUGGACGAGUCGUGUUCAGACCCUCCAGUCCGUUCUCACAGUUCUGCUUUUCUUUGUGAUUUAUAGGAUUUGAUCCAGUCUAACAGAAGCCGAUCAGCUAAUCAGUCUGGUUAUUGAUGAGCCGUUUCCAGUGAAUCCUUUAGUUCCACUUUGAGUAUUUCAGGAUUUCGACACAACGUGAACAAACGGUCGACUUUCAGCGACUGAACCACGAACAGAACAAAGAGACGUCACACAAACCCAGCUUUGACUUUUUACUGCUUUAGCUCCAACUGGAAAGACUUGAACGCUGCUGACGGGACGCUGAGAGGAACCACGUGAAGCAUCUGACUCCGGGUUGGUCCUCCUGAAGCCUUAAACCGACUCCUGGUUCUCUUCACCUUCAGCUCGUCUCGACUGGCUGGAAGCACCGACACCAGCUGAGCUUCUGUCGGGGUUUAGAUCUGACUUCAGGCCCUGGUGUUUGUGUUUCCAGGACUGACCGACUGACUGACUGAUGUGGACUCUGGGCAGGACGUCAGCCAGCUGCUGCUGUUAUUGAUCAGAUAUUAUCAGUGAUUGAUUUGCACUCAGAUGAAGCCAUCGUCGAUCAAAGUGUUUUCUUUGUUCUGCAGCAGCGACGUCUCCACAGGUUCCUCCGGUUCUCCGUGUUAUUGAUGACGUAGUUUCUAGAGCCUCCAGCUGAAUGUAUCCACGCUGACCAAUAGCAGACUUUGAUAACCGGCAGUUUGUGAAACUGUGAAACGCUUUUAGACCUUCUGAAGCUGUUCCUCACGUUCCUGUGCAUGUUCUUCUUCUGUUGCUUCUGUACUUCUUAUUUAUUGAAUACACAUUAGCAGAACCCCGUGUCACGUCUCACUCCAUCAGGUCCAACUCCACAUCUUCAGGGUAGAACCAGCAGACUGUUCCAGGUUGUCUCCAGGACCGCUGGACUCUGGUUUGGCAGUGAAAUGAGUUGUUCUGUUCCAACACAAACACAGGCUGCAGUAACGGGUCAUUAUGUCUGAGGGGAACCGGCAACGCUUGGUUCUGGAUGAAUCCAUCAGUUUCCUCCAGAGAUCUUCAGUUACUGACCAGAACGGGUUCUACAGAUGGAUCACAGAACGCAGACGGGUUCUAUUGAAGCUGCUCAAACUGAUGAUUGAUUAGUUGAUUAGCUGAUCACCUGUCUGAUGGUCUCUGGUUAACAGUGACGGAAACCACUCAACAGUUUACUACCACUUCCUGUGUGUGACCAACAGGAACGCAGAGACGGUAACCAUGGCAACAGUACAGCCACUGUGCUGCUCUACAUCCUGGUUGGUUCCAGAGUCAUGUGACCAGUCAGCUGCCUCUGACAGGCUCCGCCCCCAUCACCCUACUGGCCCUGAAACCAACCGAAUGUGUUUUCAGAACAUUUUCCAGGAUCACUCCCAGAAUGCUUUGCGGCUCAGACAGCAUCACCACAUGCUGCCUGAGCCGCCGGAAGCCAAACAGACAGACGUAAGGUGGUUUGUUUCCUUUAUUCUCCAACAAAUGUCUUUACAAACGUUCUCAGACGAUGACAGCAUCUCGAAGGCCACACAAAGGACACUUGAAACAACAGAAGCAGGAAACA